Molecule: unclassified non-coding RNA, 378 nt
Filed under: plant metagenome
Description: partial contains 5.8S ribosomal RNA, internal transcribed spacer 2, and large subunit ribosomal RNA
Rfam family: 5.8S ribosomal RNA (bases 1-105)
Source: RNAcentral
GAAAUGCGAUAAGUAAUGUGAAUUGCAGAAUUCAGUGAAUCAUCGAAUCUUUGAACGCACCUUGCGCUCCUUGGUAUUCCUUGGAGCAUGCCUGUUUGAGUAUCAUGAAAUCUUCAAAGUAAAUCUUUUGUUAACUCAAUUGGUUUCUACUUUGGUAUUGGAGGUCUUUGCAGCUUCACACCUGCUCCUCUUUGUUCAUUAGCUGGAUCUCAGUGUUAUGCUUGGUUCCACUCGGCGUGAUAAGUUAUCUAUCGCUGAGGACACUGUAAAAGGUGGCCAAGGUAAAUGCAGAUGAACCGCUUCUAAUAAUCCAUUGACUUGGACAAUACUUUUAUGAUCUCAUCUCAAAUCAGGUAGGACUACCCGCUGAACUUAAGC